GAAAAAGUAUGCAAGAACUGCUAACUCCACGCUUCCAUGUCUAACAACAUGGCUUUUUCA
Molecule: transfer RNA, 60 nt
Filed under: Pseudois nayaur (bharal)
Lineage: Eukaryota; Metazoa; Chordata; Mammalia; Artiodactyla; Bovidae
Description: tRNA-Ser
Source: RNAcentral